UAAACAUUGAAGAGUUGUGCUGCCUCAGCGUGUGGUUCCAGUGCGGUCAUGUGACUGCCAGGCUCCGUUGGAUUGGUGAAACGCAGUCAAAGGUUCCCCGAGAUCCUGCAGGGAGCUGGAAGUCAAUGUCAGAAGGGAAAGGUUUUAUGUAUCUUCCAGGACUCUGGGCGCUGAUGAAGAAUUUGUCCACAAAGUUGAAACACCGAUGACAUCUAUUAAACAGACAAGAAGCAAGGAAUUAAACAGAGACAGGAUUCAACGUCUGGGCUGUACAGUCUUCCACUACGCUCUGACGAAAGGAUUGCACGCCUCCUCUUUUAUUUGGACUUUCCCUGAUUACAUGGCAACAGCUGUUUCUAAGGGGAGAGCGGGUCGUAAACAGCCGUUGCCCUCGGUCACAAAACAGUUCAAAGAAAAGAUGCCUGGAGCUUGCGUCAGAUCCUGCUUCCUCUCCGCUUUGUAGAUCUCGGGUCAAGACAAGAUCUUCCUGUGGAUUACAACAGAUCAAAGAAACCGACACCUUCAUGUCGCUUCCCAUCUACACAGUGGAGUUUUACAAGCCUUUUGCUUGGUAAGAUCAAGGACAGCUUUUGUCCUCUCGCCGGGAACUCAUGGAAACAGAACAUUUUGUGAUAACUUACAUACAAUUAUUCUGAAAAUUGGUCUUAUGUCAAUAUUUAUGUUGAUAUGAUGUCUUUAUUUACCGUUAAGUAAGAAUUUCACCUUUUAUGUGCUUUGCUGCUGUUUUU
Long non-coding RNA from Entelurus aequoreus (snake pipefish), 749 nucleotides. RefSeq lists it as uncharacterized. The transcript has 3 exons. The record is from RefSeq and is a predicted model, not a curated record. NCBI's taxonomy places the organism in Eukaryota, Metazoa, Chordata, Actinopteri, Syngnathiformes, Syngnathidae.